CGAACUCUGCCUCACGUGAUUCAGCAUUUCGAAAGACGCCGUUGCCAUGUGAGAUGAAAGACCUGUGGUGAUAGUUACCAACAGCUUUGCCGACGAGUUCCAUUUACUGGACGUUUGCUAAACGUGUUACAGUUCACUCUUAUCACUCAUAUCUCUAGUUUUCACUUAUUUACAUUAACCUCUGCGAUAUUGUCGCAUUUUGUCACAUUCGUUAGUAAAUAAAUAGUUCCAAAAUGAAAAUCAACGGAAUUGAGAAAGUUUCACAUAGCCCCGUGAACACCUCCCACAGCAAUGUGUCCCGCCCUCUGUAUCCGAUACGAGAAGAACAGCAGCACAGGGAUGGCAGAAAGCACCACAAAGAGACGCAGACAGUUCUGGGCAGAGUCUUAAAGAAAGAACCGAACUGGGAGGAUGGGAGCGAAGAAUUCAGAGACAGACGUUGUUUCAACGAGAGGAAACGCAAGAGAGACGUGGCUGAUGGUGUUACUGACAUGAUGCCUGCUCCCAAAAGGAGUCUAAACACUGACGGCGAGGACAAGCCUGAGCUAGGAGCACUGUCUGUGCAACCAGCGCCACCUCAGGACACAGAGAGCGUAGCAUUCGUCUCUGUUGGCUGUCAGACUGUUCAACAGAGUUUCAAACCCAUCAAAAUUGAACCUCCAGAUGAGCCAGUGAUGGGUGACGUCACUCCUCCAGACGGCGAGGACAAGCCUGAGCUAGGAGCGCUGUCUGUGCAACCAGCGCCACCUCAGGACACAGAGAGCGUAGCAUUCGUCUCUGUUGGCUGUCAGACUGUUCAACAGUGUUUCAAACCCAUCAAAAUUGAACCUCCAGAUGAGCCAGUGAUGGGUGACGUCACUCCUCCAGUGAGGUGUUGGAGCAGAAACCGUCUGUAGGAGAUUUUUCAGAUCACCCCGGUCCAGUCCAUGGCCUGGAAAACCACAAUGGCCUCCUUCACAUGUGUUGAGGGG
RNAcentral lists this long non-coding RNA (971 nucleotides) under Gouania willdenowi (blunt-snouted clingfish). Its description in RNAcentral is "lncRNA (ENSGWIG00000009768.1)". The record is from RNAcentral. Lineage: Eukaryota; Metazoa; Chordata; Actinopteri; Blenniiformes; Gobiesocidae.